Chroicocephalus ridibundus (black-headed gull) is the source of this 3409-nucleotide long non-coding RNA. RefSeq lists it as uncharacterized. NCBI's taxonomy places the organism in Eukaryota, Metazoa, Chordata, Aves, Charadriiformes, Laridae. The record is from RefSeq and is a predicted model, not a curated record. The transcript has 11 exons.
AUCUCCAUACAAAUUUAUCCGGAUCAAUCUGUGUCCAAUCUGUUACUGGCUUGAUCAGACAGAAAUGGAUGAUAUCAGUGGAGCUGGCAUAUUGCUCCUAACCCUUCCUGAUGGCCUUUGUUUCAUCUCUGGAGGAAGGUGGAGGAAAUCCAUGCAGGAAAAAUCCACCAAGGGGUAUUUAACAAAAAGACAAAUCUCUGAACCAGAAAUCACUGGAAGCUGGGAGAGGACACCUGGGAAAGUAUCGUUUACUCUCCUGUUACGGUCUUCUGCAUUUAUCUUCUAUCACACAGGAUAAUUUGUCUUAACCUAGUACAGCUGUUCUUAUGUCUUGCACUAAGAUUUCUAUGGAUUUAUUGAUACAUAGUGGAUAUUUACACGUCUGGUUUAGCCAGUAUGUGGUAUAGUUCUUCCUAAAUCCCCUGUAGAGCCGAUGGGGACCAAAAUAUUCCUGCAGAAGGUGUUUCGGAGAAAAAUCCUAGCUUGGGUUCUUUUUUUUCUGGGCAAUCCUCUAUCCGCUGACAACAGAGGGAGAUAAAACAGCUGAGCUGGCUGAUAUAAGCCGCAUAGUGUUGAGUGGUUUCUCCUGACUCCAGCGUGUCCAUCGCCACUGAAUGUACGCCCUUAACACAGAACAUGCAAAAUCGGUGGCAAGUCCUGUGUAACAAAAGUUUGUGUUGUGCUGUGUCAAAACACCACAUCAGAUUUAACAGAGAAUAACAAUCAUAAUGCAAUUACACUGUUUCAUAGCUACAAGGAGAACAAGACACAAUGAGGCUUUUUGUUGGGUGCACGUGGCUUUUUAUCACUAGUAAGCUGCAGUGUAAAAUUCGCUGCCUCUCUCAAGCCCCCGAGGGACACCUCUUGACCCUUCUGACUGCUGCUCAGCAUGGUGGAUUGGGCAGCUCAGCGGGGCCGUGAAGAGCCCUUGUUCUGGUGGUGUACCCCGUUUGCUGCCGGCACAGUCCCAAGCCGAGAGCCCAACAGAGAAACAAUGUGCGAAGAUUUGCCCGUGCAGGGUGGGACAGAGGGGAGGACUCUGCGGUAGGUGGGGUGAGGCUACCGCAGUUUGGAGACGCUGGCGUAAAUGUUGGUGACUGAACGUGCCCCUUGAGCUGUGCUGGAGCUGCCACGGCACCUGGUCCCGCGGGCCUCCAGCCCUGCUUGUGUUUUCUCACUUUAUAUGAGAGAACCAGCAGAAUAACAAAAGACUAUUUCUAACACGCUUCACAUUUUUUUUUCCCCCUCUUUGUCUCGGAUUAUUCUGAACAUAGCUUAAACCCUAGUGCCCUCUUCUGAUCUUGCAGUAGGUGUCAGCUCUGGGCACACCUGUCCCUGCAGCUCCAGCUCAGCAGACAGCGGCAGCCGAUUGUUUGAAGUUAGGCAAGCAUUUGGGGACACAGAUAUUUUAAUUUGUAAUCAGCUUUAAAGCCUUAAAGCCUUCAACAUUUGCUCUGAUCAGAAACAGGAGCUUAGGCAUAAAUUAGUCUUUCCUAUUUAUAAAAACCAUUUUUUUCUCCCCUGGCAGGAGCCAUAGGCUUGAUCUGAAGUCCACUGAAGUAAAGGGAUAAACCCUUAUCAGCUCUGGCCCAGCCCUUAAUACAGCAAGUUCUUUGGCCAGUAGAGUCACUUAGGCUCAAUGAGGCGUACUGUUACAAGAUCUUCAAGGGACAAAUGCUAAUUAAGGAUAAUCUUGUAGAAAAUGUUACUUUUUUUGACAAAUUCAACACGGGAAAUACUGUAGCCUUACAGGGGUCAUAAGCUGUGGGAGGACAAGACAAAGAUUUCAGUGGAAAAUUGUAGAAUAUCACCUGAUGACAACAUCGCCGAAGCAGGAAUAGCUGGAAGAUCUGUGCUUUUGGCCAUGUCUAAGGGGAUCUCAAAGUGCUUCUUGGAAGAUUUUUAAUUUUUAUAGUGUCUGUACUGUAAAUGGAUUCAUGUAUCUUCCCUGGAAUGAAACAUGGUUUUCUGAACAAUUACCACCUGCCAAGAGUGAGGAAAGCAACUUUUUGGAGUUUCCAUGGGCGUUUGAAAUACUUUGGAGCCCUCCGACAGCCCUCAGCUCCCAUGUCGCAGUCUCUGCAGCCACCUCGCGGGGAGGCUGCGCCUCUUCGCUUGGGCAGAGCCAGAGAGGGACGCUCCUACGGCACACGGGAGCUUCCUGAAGAUCUCUGUCAAACUGGCCUACCCCCACCUGGCCUUGUUUAACCAUGCACUUGCCUGCAGGAGGAUUCCACUCCUCAGAUAUUCUGAGAUCUGAACUUUGUGGCACAUUUGGAGAUGACACGCUGUUUAUCAUACCGGUCUCGCAGAGGAAUUCCUUUCAGGUUGGUUUGGACAUGGCUCAUGUUGUAUAGUACUUGACUUGGAUUGCAUUGAAAGGAAAGGCUAAGGACCAGCAGCAGAUGCAGGAACAUUACUUAAUAAAUUGCUAAUCCAUCCUCAUUAACAAAGAAGUCCUUCCAGAGUGGAUAUUAAGACAAAGAGCUUUUGGCAUUUGUGUAGACUUAAGGGAACGUCUGUGUUUGUGAUGGCAGAAGAUUCAUUGUGUGAUAAUAGAAACGAAGCCUCAAAGGAAAAUCUUUUCACUGAUCAAACUACCGUUAUGCUGCCAGUUCCUCUCUUCACCCGCCUGGUCUACAUUACAUCUAGGGACAAUCAACUGGAUUUGUUUUCCAGGCUCAAGAUAUUGUAUAUAUUUAUUCUGCACUGUUGAUUCUGAGGGUUUGUGGACUUAGUUUAGGUAGAAUUUCUGAAUCCUGUUUUAAUGCUGCAAACUCUGUAUAUGCUUGGCUGUCUUCCAUUACAUUCUUACCAUAUAUAUCACAUGCUAAGAAACAGAAUUGGGCCACAAGACAACUUCCAAUGAGCAUGUUGGCCACUGAAAGCAACGUUUGAUUUGCUUCACAUCCUUGGUCUAAAGAGAGAGAAAGCGUGCUUCAAAUUCCCUGUGGGAAAACUACAGGGAGCAACUUCCCCCAGAGAACAAAAGUGAUGGAUUUUGGUGAAGCUUUGAAGUCUCAUCUUGGGAAGAUUAAAGGAGUUUGGGGACUGAAUAAGGAAACAAGGAGACAAGUUUAACAGAGGAAGAAGGUACAUUUCCAAGCAAGGGAGGAGAGGAGAGGACCAGCCAGAGCUUGGAGGAAACAUCCUCUAAAAGGUCUGGCUUGUAACAACUCACAUAUGACUGGAAAACUUGGUCCUUUCUGAAUUUUUUACCUUGGAAUUGGGAUCAACAGUGUUGUGAACCUCCCAAGCAGGGAGAUUUUGAAAAGAUCCGAGUUUAACUGCAAUGCUGGAAAGAUGGGUAAAAUGUCAACUGAAACUCCACGGGAACGGAUGAGCAUAGAGAACAUAGCCUACUGUUCGCCUGCAUUUUCAGUAAGCAGAGUUCACCAAGCUGGCUUUU